RNAcentral lists this ribosomal RNA (559 nucleotides) under uncultured marine bacterium D021. RNAcentral's name for it is "bacterial SSU rRNA". It matches the Rfam family "Bacterial small subunit ribosomal RNA", at positions 339 to 916 of the family's 1533-position model. The record is from RNAcentral.
CUACGGGAGGCAGCAGUGGGGAAUCUUAGACAAUGGGGGCAACCCUGAUCUAGCCAUGCCGCGUGAGUGACGAAGGCCUUAGGGUCGUAAAGCUCUUUCGCUGGGGAAGAUAAUGACGGUACCCAGUAAAGAAACCCCGGCUAACUCCGUGCCAGCAGCCGCGGUAAUACGGAGGGGGUUAGCGUUGUUCGGAAUUACUGGGCGUAAAGCGCGCGUAGGCGGAUUGGAAAGUUGGGGGUGAAAUCCCGGGGCUCAACCCCGGAACUGCCUCCAAAACUAUCAGUCUAGAGUUCGAGAGAGGUGAGUGGAAUUCCGAGUGUAGAGGUGAAAUUCGUAGAUAUUCGGAGGAACACCAGUGGCGAAGGCGGCUCACUGGCUCGAUACUGACGCUGAGGUGCGAAAGUGUGGGGAGCAAACAGGAUUAGAUACCCUGGUAGUCCACACCGUAAACGAUGAAUGCCAGUCGUCGGGUUGCAUGCAAUUCGGUGACACACCUAACGGAUUAAGCAUUCCGCCUGGGGAGUACGGUCGCAAGAUUAAAACUCAAAGGAAUUGACGG